RNAcentral lists this ribosomal RNA (230 nucleotides) under uncultured microorganism. Its description in RNAcentral is "partial 16S ribosomal RNA". It matches the Rfam family "Bacterial small subunit ribosomal RNA", at positions 524 to 753 of the family's 1533-position model. The record is from RNAcentral.
UACGUAGGGUGCAAGCGUUAAUCGGAAUUACUGGGCGUAAAGCGUGCGCAGGCGGUUUUGUAAGUCUGAUGUGAAAUCCCCGGGCUCAACCUGGGAAUUGCAUUGGAGACUGCAAGGCUAGAAUCUGGCAGAGGGGGGUAGAAUUCCACGUGUAGCAGUGAAAUGCGUAGAUAUGUGGAGGAACACCGAUGGCGAAGGCAGCCCCCUGGGUCAAGAUUGACGCUCAUGCA